UUUUUUUUUUUUUUUUUUUUUUUUUUUUUUGAUCAGUCUUUUUGCACUGGACAGACAGGGCUGACCUAAAAAGGUUUUGGUGUGGUUCAUUAUGCACGUUCGUACUUUCAUGGAAAGACUCAGAUCUUGACUUGUAGGAGUCUACUGAGCAGAUGGCUAAACGAAUGCUUUUUAAGAUCUCUUAAUCUAGUAUGUAAUAUUUUGGCAUUGAUACAGUUUGUUUCAUUUCCAGGACAUUGGUAUGGCAGUAGAUCUCUGGCAAGUGUUGAGCAUAAGUUCUUAGAUGCUUCCUCUGCUGAAUGUGUUUUUUUCACUUAUGUAUUCAUUAUGUCUAUAAAGUAACUAGUCAACUUAUGUAUAUAUGUUUGGUUUUAUUUACCUUCUGUCAGUAUGUUACACAGUUCUUUACUAGGCAAUAAUAAAAUAUUUUUACCAAGGUUCUCAACUGUGCCUCAAGGAAAAGGGAGCCUUGUCUAAUGCAGUAUCUCUGAACAUUGAUUUGAGCUGCUCCCAGACAGAAGUUCUAGCACCUAGUGUAUAUUAAUCACUAGGCUUCGGCAGUAGACCCAAAACAGACUUAGACAACGAGCCAAAAGUGGAGACUGGACAACGACCCACACCUACAUGCAGGGAAAGUCUCAAAGAACCAGAGAAAGCCCUCAACACUCCUGGAGUCAGUCAUCAUGACUGCAGAGGAGCUGGAGAGAAGUAACCACCUCAGAACAAUGAGCCACAGUUGAGUCUUUGGAUGUAUCCUCAGAGGGUGAAGACUCUGAUCCUGUCUUAACUGACAGGCUCACUUGCCCCUCCUCGGGUAUGUUGACUCACCUGGAAGCAGUGGUGGCGGCGUGACCCCCGAAUCCCCACCCACCUAGGCUAUCCUUUCAAUAAAGGCCUUAUCAAGAAAGGAGCACAAGGUCUCCUGGACAGUUUAUUUACUACACUCUGACAAGUUGGUAAAGGGAGCCCUUUCCCAUCUCUCGCUGGCUGUGCCCGCCAUUCACCAUGCCCAGCUCGCGCCACAGCGCCCCCUGCAGCCGCGGGGGAAUCACCGUCCCUGCCCUGCCCAUCGGGAGCCAGCAGCGCCCCUGCUGGAUGUGACCGGAACUGCAGCGAAGGGGAAAGGCUGUGGCCGAGGGAAGGAGGAGGACAUGGAGAAACUGCAAUAAGUUCAGUGAAGGGCCAUCAGGAUGACUGGAACAUUUGUCCUUUGAGGAGAGAUUGAGGAAUUUUCAGCUAGAUCACCUCCCUGAAUUAAGUCAGUAUAUGACUUCUGAGCAAUAGUGCCAGUGCAAAGCAGGGACAGGAACACAUUAUCAAAGAAGGAGUGGAAGCUCAUCUGACUUGGACCAGUGUAAGCUGUUGUGGAACUGGUCCAUGCCAUCUUUCACCUUGUGCUGUAGACCAGGACUGUGGUGUUCUGAAUGUGAAACAAAACACCUGGAACAAAACCACCUGCAACCUGAAGAACAGGCCUUUUGCCUUCCUGGGACACGGGUUAAAGACAUGAUGAGAAAACUUCAUACUCUGCACUUAUGAUGGCAAAUUGAAUAUGAGUCAGCAGUGUCCUGGCAGCCAAAAGGGUGAACCGUGUCCUGGGGUGCAUCAAGAACAGCACUGCCAUCCAGUCAGGGGAGGUGAUUGUCCUUCUCUACACUUCACUGCUGUAGCCUCCACACUUUUGUAUGCAGUUUUGUGUAUCACAGUAUAAGAAGGACAUCAAAGUAUUAGAGAGUCUCCUAGCGAGGGGAGCCAUGAUGCUGAAAGUUUUUGAGGGCAAGACUUAGGAGAAGCAGCUGAGAUCACUUGAUUUGUUCAGCCUGGUGAAGAGAAAGCUGAGGUGACCUCUUGGCAAUCUAAGCCUUUCUCAAGGCAGGCAGCAGAGAGGGAAAUGCUUCUUUCUCUCUGGUGACCAGUGAUAUGUCACAAGUAAACAGAAUGAAGCUGUGUCAAGGGGAGUUCAGACUGGAAUUAGGAAAAGAGUCUUGACUGAGUGGGUGGUUGUUACUGGAGCCAAUACGUGAAGGAAGUGGUCACAGCACUAAGCCUAACAGAGUUCAAGGAGUGCCUGCUGGAUGUUCUUAGUUAUAUGAUUAAUUUUAUAUAGUCCUAUGGGGGACAGGGAGUUGAAGACAGUGAUGUUUAUGGGUCCUUUCCAACUUGGUGUAUUCUAGAAUUCUGUGAAUAUUUUACUACUAGGAAUGCUGUUUUCCAGAAUGCUACAAAGCACUUAGUUUUUGGUGUAGCAUUUAUAAAAGGUACUGAUAGAGUCAACUAAAAUUCUCAUUAUUGAAUGCCUUUUUGUGUUGUACAUUCUAAUAAAAUGAUUGAUCCUAAAA
RNAcentral lists this long non-coding RNA (2339 nucleotides) under Taeniopygia guttata (zebra finch). RNAcentral's name for it is "lncRNA (ENSTGUG00000024737.1)". The record is from RNAcentral. Lineage: Eukaryota; Metazoa; Chordata; Aves; Passeriformes; Estrildidae.